This 626-nucleotide ribosomal RNA is filed under the name Bacillus sp. enrichment culture clone PM10a. Its description in RNAcentral is "bacterial SSU rRNA". It matches the Rfam family "Bacterial small subunit ribosomal RNA", at positions 31 to 640 of the family's 1533-position model. Lineage: Bacteria; Bacillati; Bacillota; Bacilli; Caryophanales; Bacillaceae. The record is from RNAcentral.
GCGCAUUAACGGCCCGCUUAUUCUGCAGUCGAGCGAAUGGAUUAAGAGCUUGCUCUUAUGAAGUUAGCGGCGGACGGGUGAGUAACACGUGGGUAACCUGCCCAUAAGACUGGGAUAACUCCGGGAAACCGGGGCUAAUACCGGAUAACAUUUUGAACCGCAUGGUUCGAAAUUGAAAGGCGGCUUCGGCUGUCACUUAUGGAUGGACCCGCGUCGCAUUAGCUAGUUGGUGAGGUAACGGCUCACCAAGGCAACGAUGCGUAGCCGACCUGAGAGGGUGAUCGGCCACACUGGGACUGAGACACGGCCCAGACUCCUACGGGAGGCAGCAGUAGGGAAUCUUCCGCAAUGGACGAAAGUCUGACGGAGCAACGCCGCGUGAGUGAUGAAGGCUUUCGGGUCGUAAAACUCUGUUGUUAGGGAAGAACAAGUGCUAGUUGAAUAAGCUGGCACCUUGACGGUACCUAACCAGAAAGCCACGGCUAACUACGUGCCAGCAGCCGCGGUAAUACGUAGGUGGCAAGCGUUAUCCGGAAUUAUUGGGCGUAAAGCGCGCGCAGGUGGUUUCUUAAGUCUGAUGUGAAAGCCCACGGCUCAACCGUGGAGGGUCAUUGGAAACUGGGAGA